UACGGAAGGCAGCAGUGGGGAAUAUUGCACAAUGGGCGCAAGCCUGAUGCAGCCAUGCCGCGUGUAUGAAGAAGGCCUUCGGGUUGUAAAGUACUUUCAGUCGUGAGGAAGGUGUUAAGGUUAAUAACCUUAGCAAUUGACGUUAGCGACAGAAGAAGCACCGGCUAACUCCGUGCCAGCAGCCGCGGUAAUACGGAGGGUGCGAGCGUUAAUCGGAAUUACUGGGCGUAAAGGGCACGCAGGCGGUUAAUUAAGUUGGAUGUGAAAUCCCCGGGCUUAACCUGGGAAUGGCAUUCAAGCUGGUUAGCUAGAGUCUUGUAGAGGGGGUAGAAUUCCGAUGUGUAGCGGUGAAAUGCGUAGAGAUGUGGAGGAAUACCGGUGGCGAAGGCGGCCCCUGGACAAGACUGACGCUCAUGUGCGAAGCGUGGGGAGCAAACGAGGGAUUAGAUACC
RNAcentral lists this ribosomal RNA (452 nucleotides) under uncultured bacterium. RNAcentral's name for it is "bacterial SSU rRNA". It matches the Rfam family "Bacterial small subunit ribosomal RNA", at positions 340 to 786 of the family's 1533-position model. The record is from RNAcentral.